GAUGAACGCUGGCGGUGUGCCUAAUACAUGCAAGUCGAGCGAACAGACGAGGAGCUUGCUCCUCUGACGUUAGCGGCGGACUGGUGAGUAACACGUGGAUAACCUACCUAUAAGACUGGGAUAACUUCGGGAAACCGGAGCUAAUACCGGAUAAUAUAUUGAACCGCAUGGUUCAAUAGUGAAAGACGGUUUUGCUGUCACUUAUAGAUGGAUCCGCGCCGCAUUAGCUAGUUGGUAAGGUAACGGCUUACCAAGGCGACGAUGCGUAGCCGACCUGAGAGGGUGAUCGGCCACACUGGAACUGAGACACGGUCCAGACUCCUACGGGAGGCAGCAGUAGGGAAUCUUCCGCAAUGGGCGAAAGCCUGACGGAGCAACGCCGCGUGAGUGAUGAAGGUCUUCGGAUCGUAAAACUCUGUUAUUAGGGAAGAACAAAUGUGUAAGUAACUAUGCACGUCUUGACGGUACCUAAUCAGAAAGCCACGGCUAACUACGUG
RNAcentral lists this ribosomal RNA (497 nucleotides) under uncultured bacterium. RNAcentral's name for it is "partial 16S ribosomal RNA". It matches the Rfam family "Bacterial small subunit ribosomal RNA", at positions 28 to 507 of the family's 1533-position model. The record is from RNAcentral.